CCCAUCAAGUGGUCUUUUAUGUGGAGCGAUAACGAAGGCCAAUUAAUACAGCAAUUGGGAGCAACCUCUGAUGCCCUCGUAAUUUCUCUGCCUUAUAAUUAUCGAACGUUUGGGGUUUUUCAUGCUCCCAAGGAAAUCACAGUCAGAGCCAGAGACAACCAGAAAGCGGACACUGCAGCCAGAGGCCAAGGGAGCAAUGUGUGGCCCCACAGAAACCCCCGGGGUGGGAGCGGGGCGGAAAGGAGGGUCUGGGAUGGAAAAUGAGUCUCCUCCCUGGGUGGCAGCUGGACCAGUGUCACAGGACACCAGAGGCUGGUGCUGCUGGAAGCAUCUGUCUGGGCGCCAGUGCCGACGCACCCCUCUGUGGAGCAGCCUCUUGGCAUGCUGCUCGCCCAGCCCGGCUCACCCUGGGACCGGAAGCUGGCCCUGUGCUUCCUCUGCAGGAAUCGGCAUCGGCUGGGGCCAGUCCUCUGCUGCUUCUCCUCCAACUCCUGAGGGCCCCAGAGGAUGCCUGACCUGUCUCGGGGCCUCUGCUCCCUCCAGGAAGCAGCCUCUUGGCUCUCUGAUCUUCGUACAAGGUCAAACGCUCAAUGAUGCUCAGGUAAGUGGCAUUAAGGAGAGACAGGUCUGUUCCCCCGUAGAGGUCAGCUUCCUGCUGCUGGGGCCCUCCCCGGCUGCUCUGCAGGCUGCUGUGGUGUCUGUUCCAGCUGGAUGCAUCUGCCCUGGGCUCACCAACCCAUUUUGGAAACUUCCCCAGAACGUCCUCUUCCUCCUCCUUCAUCGGUUACGUAGCCUCCAUUUACAGAGCCCCUGCUGGGACGGAACUCACAUGACCUUGCAGGAUCCUUGCAGCGUAAGUUUGUGAUAUUGACUUUAAGGAGGAGAGAACAGAAUGGAAGGUAUGUGACUUCCCCAUGGUCACGUCGAUCUUAAUUGGCACCAACAGGAAUCAGACAUCUCUAUCCAACUUCAAAGCUACAGCCUUAACCACUGGGCCACACUG
RNAcentral lists this long non-coding RNA (1003 nucleotides) under Dasypus novemcinctus (nine-banded armadillo). RNAcentral's name for it is "lncRNA (ENSDNOG00000051153.1)". Lineage: Eukaryota; Metazoa; Chordata; Mammalia; Cingulata; Dasypodidae. The record is from RNAcentral.